This 440-nucleotide ribosomal RNA is filed under the name uncultured bacterium. RNAcentral describes it as "partial 16S ribosomal RNA". It matches the Rfam family "Bacterial small subunit ribosomal RNA", at positions 338 to 795 of the family's 1533-position model. The record is from RNAcentral.
CCUACGGGUGGCAGCAGUGGGGAAUAUUGCACAAUGGGGGAAACCCUGAUGCAGCGACGCCGCGUGAGCGAUGAAGGAUUUCGGGAUGUAAAGCUCUAUCAGCAGGGAAGAAAAUGACGGUACCUGACUAAGAAGCCCCGGCUAACUACGAGCCAGCAGCCGCGGUAAUACGGAGGGGGAAAGCGUGAGCCGGAUUGACGGGGGGGAAAGGGAGCGGAGACGGCGGGGCAAGCCAGCUGUGAAAGCCCGGGGCUCAACCCCGGGACUGCCUUUGGAACUGUGCUGCUAGAGUGUCGGAGAGGCUGGCGUAAUUCCUAGUGUAGCUGUGAACUGCGUAGAUAUUAGGAGGAACACCAGUGGCGAAGGCGGCCUGCUGGACCAUGACUGACGUUGAGGCUCGAAAGCGUGGGGAGCAAACAGGAUUAGAUACCCGAGUAGUC